This is a non-coding RNA of Podarcis muralis (Common wall lizard), 2199 nucleotides long. Lineage: Eukaryota; Metazoa; Chordata; Lepidosauria; Squamata; Lacertidae. The record is from RefSeq and is a predicted model, not a curated record.
GGUUUGUUGAGCAGAAUUUUCUUAGGGGGACGCAGCAACUGUAGGAGAAAAGCUCUAUGUGGUAGUAAGCCACUCAACCACAGCAGUUAAUUCCAACAGAAAAUACACUUCCAGGCCUACUGGUCAUACAUAAGCCUGUAACACUGAAAGGAAAAUCUGCCAUCUUUUCCUUCUGUGAAGUUUGAAAACAAAGCCUGACAGCAUGUGACUUACCCAACAUACUGGCCAGGUAUGGCAGGCCCAUCAGGGACUAGUGAAUGCCAAAACUAAUCCUGUCCUGUUUGUCUGGAAGUAAACCCUACUGAAUUUAAUAGGACUUGCUUCUGAAUAGACUUGGUUAGGAUUGUGCUGAACCACUCUCACAACUGGGUUAGUUUAAAAAUUGAAACUGCUACUGCAAAACUAGCAUAAUGAGCAAAUCAAAGAGCUAAUGCUAACACAAUAUUUCCCAGAAAUGAGGUGAUUCAGCAUCCAAACUAAGACAACAAAACAGAUCCUAUUUUAAAUUGUCUUUUCCUGCAUCUCCAAUGAUUUUCUUUUGAACAGCCAUUCCUAAAAUCCUCUAUCCCUUUGGUGUGGAAUGUUUGUGUGUCUCAUCCCUGAAAGCCACAUUUAUUUGUGCCCAUUAGUUUUCCUUCCAAGCCUACUCCCUCAAAACAGGCCUCCGCUAUUAUCAAUCUUUUUUUGUCCCUCUUAGCUUUUAGAAAGCUGCUCCUCCCUCCUGAAAAAAAUCCUGAAUCUAAUCACUGAGGAAUACUUCCAACAUUGUUUUAGAAAGCUAUGACAGUACUCUUGGGAGCUGCAUUCUUGUCGAAGAAUUGAAAUAAAAAGUUUGGUGCAGAAAACAGGAAAGGGACCUUUCCUGGCAUCAGUGUCAAGAUGACAAGUCAGUAGUUACCUUGGUCUUCUCCCCACCACCACCACCUUUUUGAAGUUGGGGACAACAUUUGCUUGCUUCCAGCCCACAGAGACCUCACCUGUUCUCCAAGAAUUCUCAAAGAUUGUAGGCAGAGGCUCUGAGCGUCAUCAGACUGGAAGAUCAAUCCACAAGAAGCAGUACUGCAAAUAAAGUAUUAGAAACAACAAUCAAGCCAUUUGAUGCAAAAGUCAUCAGCAUAAACAAUGCUGCAAAACUCUAUAUACUGGAACAAAUGCCAAUUCCAUACCAACAAAGCUUCAGUGAAUCACACCAGAUGUGGUGAGCCACAAGACCAAGUGAAAAAGGUUGCUAGAAGGGAAGCAUUAUUCAAUGAUACAUCUAUGUCUCUGGAAAGACGAGCUGUAACAGACAGUUAUGGUUCAGGGUUUAAUGAAUACGGAAACAAGUUACAAGGGAUUCAAAAUGAAGAUUUCAAGCGGGAAUCAAGCUGUAGUUUUGCAAUGCAGCUAAGUAACGAAGACUAUAAGAGCAAUAUGCCAUCAUUUGCCAUAAACCCAAACAGCCAAGCUAAAGAGGAGUUAUUUAAUUUACGGGGGGGGGGGGAGUUUCUUACCAGUCCUAUGAGUUGUCUCCCACUAAGCCACACAGAAUAGAACCACAGAUACCAAUGGACAUAACUAAUUCCAGGGUGUAUCUAUUCCAGUAGGAAAUUCUGAAGUGCAGAACUCUUAAAGACAACCCUCCAUGGCCAUGCCUCGAUAUUCAUAUACCUUCUAAGGCUAUACAACAAAAACAAACCUUUUACCAUGGCAGACAAUAUGGUUUCAAUACCAAGCCAGCUUUUCCCCCUUCUCUCUCCCCACCUUCCCUUUACUUACCAUUGAGUCUGAUGGAGAGCUCUGGUACACUCAAAAGUUUGCUCACAAUAUUGUGACGUUUUGGUUGUUCGUCUUCAAAAUAGUUUAUUUUUAUCUUAUUUUACCUUAUCCUCAGGCCAGCCACUUGUCUCUCAGCCUAAUCUACCACACAGGGCUAUUGUGGGGGUAAAAUUGAGAGAAGAAUCAUGUCACCUUGAUUACUUUGGGGAAAAGGUGGGAAGUAAUAAUAAUAAUAAUAAUAAUAAUAAAAAUUUGGGAAAAGACUACAUGGGAGGAAUUCAUGAAAUUUCAUUCUACCCUUAAUCUCUUUACUAUUUGUUUAAGAAAUCUUCACUAUUAAGACUAAACCACCCCAGAUUUCUUGAGAGUCCCAUGGGCUGCAAGAAGAUCAAACCUAUCCAUUCUUAAAGAAAUCAUCCCUGAGUGCUCACUGGAAGGACA